Molecule: ribosomal RNA, 331 nt
Filed under: Bacillus sp. AN2
Lineage: Bacteria; Bacillati; Bacillota; Bacilli; Caryophanales; Bacillaceae
Description: partial 23S ribosomal RNA
Rfam family: Bacterial large subunit ribosomal RNA
Source: RNAcentral
GUACGAGAGGACCGGGAUGGACGCACCGCUGGUGUACCAGUUGUUCUGCCAAGGGCAUCGCUGGGUAGCUAUGUGCGGACGGGAGUACGAGAGGACCGGGAUGGACGCACCGCUGGUGUACCAGUUGUUCUGCCAAGGGCAUCGCUGGGUAGCUAUGUGCGGACGGGAUAAGUGCUGAAAGCAUCUAAGCAUGAAGCCCCCCUCAAGAUGAGAUUUCCCAUUCCGCAAGGAAGUAAGAUCCCUGAAAGAUGAUCAGGUUGAUAGGUCUGAGGUGGAAGCGUGGUGACACGUGGAGCUGACAGAUACUAAUAGAUCGAGGACUUAACCUAUA